GGGGAAUUUUGGACAAUGGGGGCAACCCUGAUCCAGCCAUGCCGCGUGAGUGAAGAAGGCCUUCGGGUUGUAAAGCUCUUUCGGCGGGGAAGAAAUGGCAACGGCUAAUAUCCGUUGUUGAUGACGGUACCCGCAUAAGAAGCACCGGCUAACUACGUGCCAGCAGCCGCGGUAAUACGUAGGGUGCGAGCGUUAAUCGGAAUUACUGGGCGUAAAGCGUGCGCAGGCGGUUUUGUAAGACAGAGGUGAAAUCCCCGGGCUCAACCUGGGAACUGCCUUUGUGACUGCAAAGCUGGAGUGCGGCAGAGGGGGGUGGAAUUCCACGUGUAGCAGUGAAAUGCGUAGAGAUGUGGAGGAACACCAAUGUCGAAGGCAGCCCCCUGGGUCGAUACUGACGCUCAUGCACGAAAGCGUGGGGAGCAAACA
This 426-nucleotide ribosomal RNA is filed under the name uncultured Rhodocyclaceae bacterium. Its description in RNAcentral is "bacterial SSU rRNA". It matches the Rfam family "Bacterial small subunit ribosomal RNA", at positions 356 to 774 of the family's 1533-position model. Lineage: Bacteria; Pseudomonadati; Pseudomonadota; Betaproteobacteria; Rhodocyclales; Rhodocyclaceae. The record is from RNAcentral.